Molecule: long non-coding RNA, 399 nt
Organism: Cyclopterus lumpus (lumpfish)
Lineage: Eukaryota; Metazoa; Chordata; Actinopteri; Perciformes; Cyclopteridae
Exons: 2
Source: RefSeq, a predicted model, not a curated record
GCCGGAUCAGGCCAAGAGCAGCGCACUGCUAAUUUACCGGCAUUAGCGUCCUUUUACUGGCUAUAGUAAAGGCAAAGCUAACUCAAAUAAUUAAAACGACAUUUAGCUCGAAAGGCAGGAGCUAACUGGGCGAAGGAAGGAUGGGAAGGAGGCAAGGAAGGAAGGAAAGAAAACAAGGAAAGGAAGGAAAGGAAGCCAGCCUUCAUGUGUCGCGCAGCCCGAAGACGACAGGCUGCGGCGGGAAUGCUACCCCGGAGCGGGUUAAUUUGUUUUCUUCGGGUUUUCGUUGGAACAACAAAUGCAUUGGAGAAAACACCAGUUUACACCCAACUACUAAGUGCAAUGGCUAAAACACAGCAGGAGGCAAGGCACUGUCUAAUUAAAAGUAUGAUAGAUUUA